GUGUGCGUGUGUGUGCAUGUGUGUACAUGUGUGUGCACGUGUCUGUGUGUAUGCUUGUAUAUGAGUAUCCGUGUGUCCGUGUGUCUGUGUGUGUAUGCCUGUGCAUGCAUGCAUACAUGCGUGUGUGCAUGUGGCGUCUCCUCACCAUCUUGUCUCACUAACUUACACAUUUAGGAAUGCCUCCUUUGCCUUCACACUACUGUCUGCUCCAGGCAUUCCUGCUCUCAGCUGCUUCCUUUAAGUCUUGUCUGAAUGCUUCUCCCUGGCAGCAUGCUCCAGAUGUUCUGCACAGUUUUUCCCCACAUCAGAAGCUACUUACAGUCCCCCUAUAUGUACCUUACCAUCUGUAUUUUCCAGUUGCAUCUACAUCAUUGGCAGUCAAAUGUCUAUGUCUAAGUAGCUUUCCUUUUUUUUAAAGUUUUAAAUAUAUUUAUAUGUAAAUAU
RNAcentral lists this long non-coding RNA (444 nucleotides) under Rattus norvegicus (Norway rat). RNAcentral's name for it is "long non-coding RNA NONRATT015894". Lineage: Eukaryota; Metazoa; Chordata; Mammalia; Rodentia; Muridae. The record is from RNAcentral.